RNAcentral lists this ribosomal RNA (591 nucleotides) under Triticum aestivum (bread wheat). RNAcentral's name for it is "partial small subunit ribosomal RNA". Lineage: Eukaryota; Viridiplantae; Streptophyta; Magnoliopsida; Poales; Poaceae. The record is from RNAcentral.
AUGGCUCGCGCGCAUGGCGCCUUCUUGCUGCAGCUACUGGACUUGCGCACCACCGAGGUCGCCGCCGAGCUCAGGUACCAGGAGGUGGGCACGGAGGCCAUCGACGCGCUCGUAGAGCCGGUCGGGCAUCCCCAGCCCCUCGUCGGCGGCCACGAAGGGCAUGCCGUCGUACUCCACCACCGCGCCCACCCGCUCGAAGCAGUGCCGCCACACGUUGCCGUUCUUGACGCGACCGCGGCCAGGGCGCGCGCCGGUGCGGGCAGGGCGCGGGGCACUCGGUGCAGCGGCAGCAACCAGGCAGAGCAGCAGAGCUGCAGCGACAACGAUAGGGAAGCAGGGGAGGAGUUCGGCAGCGGCGUACUUGGCCUCCGCCGCAGGGCUUCGGCGAGGCAGCCGCGUACUUGGCCUCCGCCGCCAGGAAUGGACGCGCUUGAGCUCGUCUUCGAUGCCGCCAGGUCCCGCGCCUCUUCUGCAUCAGACACGGACGGAAUUGUAUUAACAAGGGAAGCUUCAAGUUCAAGAUUCCGAAAACAGCAAUAUGCUAAGAGAAAGAUGUACUCAGUACUACUCCAUGUUAUAGAGAAUCACUGA